CGUGGAGACAGGUGGUGCAUGGCUGUCGUCAGCUCGUGUCGUGAGAUGUUGGGUUAAGUCCCGCAACGAGCGCAACCCUCACCCCUAGUUGCCACCGGGUAAAGCCGAGCACUCGAGGGGAACUGCCAGCGUCAAGCUGGAGGAAGGCGGGGAUGACGUCAAGUCAUCAUGCCCCUUACGCCCUGGGCUACACACGUGCUACAAUGGCCGGUACAAAGGGACGCGAGACUGCAAGGUGGAGCUAAUCCCAAAAAACCGGUCUAAGUUCAGAUUGCAGUCUGCAACUCGACUGCAUGAAGGAGGAAUCGCUAGUAAUCGCGCAUCAGCACGGCGCGGUGAAUACGUUCCCGGGCCUUGUACACACCGCCCGUCACACCACGAAAGCUGUCUGUACUCGAAGUCGCUGAG
Molecule: ribosomal RNA, 408 nt
Filed under: uncultured Methylomirabilota bacterium
Lineage: Bacteria; Methylomirabilota (SeqCode)
Description: bacterial SSU rRNA
Rfam family: Bacterial small subunit ribosomal RNA
Source: RNAcentral